Molecule: transfer RNA, 69 nt
Filed under: Ictidomys tridecemlineatus (thirteen-lined ground squirrel)
Lineage: Eukaryota; Metazoa; Chordata; Mammalia; Rodentia; Sciuridae
Description: Spermophilus tridecemlineatus (thirteen-lined ground squirrel) tRNA
Rfam family: tRNA
About the family: Transfer RNA (tRNA) molecules are approximately 80 nucleotides in length. Their secondary structure includes four short double-helical elements and three loops (D, anti-codon, and T loops). Further hydrogen bonds mediate the characteristic L-shaped molecular structure. tRNAs have two regions of fundamental functional importance: the anti-codon, which is responsible for specific mRNA codon recognition, and the 3' end, to which the tRNAs corresponding amino acid is attached (by aminoacyl-tRNA synthetases). tRNAs cope with the degeneracy of the genetic code in two manners: having more than one tRNA (with a specific anti-codon) for a particular amino acid; and 'wobble' base-pairing, i.e. permitting non-standard base-pairing at the 3rd anti-codon position.
Source: Rfam by way of RNAcentral
GGGGUUGUGGCUCAGUGGUAGAGCGCAUACUUACCAUGUGUAAGGCACUGGGUUCGAUCCUCAGCACCA